UAGGGAAUCUUCCGCAAUGGACGCAAGUCUGACGGAGCAACGCCGCGUGAGUGAAGAAGGAUUUCGGUUCGUAAAACUCUGUUGUUAGAGAAGAACAGCGCAUAGAGUAACUGUUAUGCGUGUGACGGUAUCUAACCAGAAAGCCACGGCUAACUACGUGCCAGCAGCCGCGGUAAUACGUAGGUGGCAAGCGUUGUCCGGAUUUAUUGGGCGUAAAGCGAGCGCAGGCGGUCAAUUAAGUCUGAUGUGAAAGCCCCCGGCUCAACCGGGGAGGGUCAUUGGAAACUGGUUGACUUGAGUGCAGAAGGGGAGAGUGGAAUUCCAUGUGUAGCGGUGAAAUGCGUAGAUAUAUGGAGGAACACCAGUGGCGAAGGCGACUCUCUGGUCUGUAACUGACGCGGAGGCUCGAAAGCGUGGGUAGCAAACAGG
This 429-nucleotide ribosomal RNA is filed under the name Bacteroidota bacterium. Its description in RNAcentral is "Bacteroidetes bacterium partial 16S ribosomal RNA". It matches the Rfam family "Bacterial small subunit ribosomal RNA", at positions 355 to 776 of the family's 1533-position model. Lineage: Bacteria; Pseudomonadati; Bacteroidota. The record is from RNAcentral.